UGGGGAAUAUUGGACAAUGGGCGAAAGCCUGAUCCAGCCAUGCCGCGUGUGCGAAGAAGGUCUUCGGAUUGUAAAGCACUUUAAGUUGGGAGGAAGGGCAGUAAGCUAAUACCUUGCUGUUUUGACGUUACCGACAGAAUAAGCACCGGCUAACUCUGUGCCAG
RNAcentral lists this ribosomal RNA (164 nucleotides) under uncultured bacterium. RNAcentral describes it as "partial 16S rRNA". It matches the Rfam family "Bacterial small subunit ribosomal RNA", at positions 355 to 511 of the family's 1533-position model. The record is from RNAcentral.